Molecule: unclassified non-coding RNA, 20 nt
Filed under: Mus musculus (house mouse)
Lineage: Eukaryota; Metazoa; Chordata; Mammalia; Rodentia; Muridae
Description: oocyte_clustered_small_RNA11493
Source: RNAcentral
GGAAGCCUCCACAUAGAAGG